GACGAACGCUGGCGGCGUGCUUAACACAUGCAAGUCGAACGGAAAGGCCCUGCUUUUGUGGGGUGCUCGAGUGGCGAACGGGUGAGUAACACGUGAGUAACCUGCCCUUGACUUUGGGAUAACUUCAGGAAACUGGGGCUAAUACCGGAUAGGAGCUCCUGCUGCAUGGUGGGGGUUGGAAAGUUUCGGCGGUUGGGGAUGGACUCGCGGCUUAUCAGCUUGUUGGUGGGGUAGUGGCUUACCAAGGCUUUGACGGGUAGCCGGCCUGAGAGGGUGACCGGCCACAUUGGGACUGAGAUACGGCCCAGACUCCUACGGGAGGCAGCAGUGGGGAAUAUUGCACAAUGGGCGGAAGCCUGAUGCAGCAACGCCGCGUGCGGGAUGAAGGCCUUCGGGUUGUAAACCGCUUUCGCCUGUGACGAAGCGUGAGUGACGGUAAUGGGUAGAGAAGCACCGGCUAACUACGUG
This 468-nucleotide ribosomal RNA is filed under the name uncultured bacterium. RNAcentral's name for it is "partial 16S ribosomal RNA". It matches the Rfam family "Bacterial small subunit ribosomal RNA", at positions 28 to 507 of the family's 1533-position model. The record is from RNAcentral.